This is a non-coding RNA of Bos taurus (domestic cattle), 72 nucleotides long. Lineage: Eukaryota; Metazoa; Chordata; Mammalia; Artiodactyla; Bovidae. The record is from Rfam.
UCCCUGAUGGUCCAGUGGUUAGGACUCUGCGCUUUCAUUGCUGUAGUCCGAGUUCAGUUCCUGGUCAGGGAA